UGCAAGUCGAACGAACUCUGGUAUUGAUUGGUGCUUGCAUCAUGAUUUACAUUUGAGUGAGUGGCGAACUGGUGAGUAACACGUGGGAAACCUGCCCAGAAGCGGGGGAUAACACCUGGAAACAGAUGCUAAUACCGCAUAACAACUUGGACCGCAUGGUCCGAGUUUGAAAGAUGGCUUCGGCUAUCACUUUUGGAUGGUCCCGCGGCGUAUUAGCUAGAUGGUGGGGUAACGGCUCACCAUGGCAAUGAUACGUAGCCGACCUGAGAGGGUAAUCGGCCACAUUGGGACUGAGACACGGCCCAAACUCCUACGGGAGGCAGCAGUAGGGAAUCUUCCACAAUGGACGAAAGUCUGAUGGAGCAACGCCGCGUGAGUGAAGAAGGGUUUCGGCUCGUAAAACUCUGUUGUUGAAGAAGAACAUAUCUGAGAGUAACUGUUCAGGUAUUGACGGUAUUUAACCAGAAAGCCACGGCUAACUACGUGCCAGCAGCCGCGGUAAUACGUAGGUGGCAAGCGUUGUCCGGAUUUAUUGGGCGUAAAGCGAGCGCAGGCGGUUUUUUAAGUCUGAUGUGAAAGCCUUCGGCUCAACCGAAGAAGUGCAUCGGAAACUGGGAAACUUGAGUGCAGAAGAGGACAGUGGAACUCCAUGUGUAGCGGUGAAAUGCGUAGAUAUAUGGAAGAACACCAGUGGCGAAGGCGGCUGUCUGGUCUGUAACUGACGCUGAGGCUCGAAAGUAUGGGUAGCAAACAGGAUUAGAUACCCUGGUAGUCCAUACCGUAAACGAUGAAUGCUAAGUGUUGGAGGGUUUCCGCCCUUCAGUGCUGCAGCUAACGCAUUAAGCAUUCCGCCUGGGGAGUACGGCCGCAAGGCUGAAACUCAAAGGAAUUGACGGGGGCCCGCACAAGCGGUGGAGCAUGUGGUUUAAUUCGAAGCUACGCGAAGAACCUUACCAGGUCUUGACAUACUAUGCAAAUCUAAGAGAUUAGACGUUCCCUUCGGGGACAUGGAUACAGGUGGUGCAUGGUUGUCGUCAGCUCGUGUCGUGAGAUGUUGGGUUAAGUCCCGCAACGAGCGCAACCCUUAUUAUCAGUUGCCAGCAUUAAGUUGGGCACUCUGGUGAGACUGCCGGUGACAAACCGGAGGAAGGUGGGGAUGACGUCAAAUCAUCAUGCCCCUUAUGACCUGGGCUACACACGUGCUACAAUGGAUGGUACAACGAGUUGCGAACUCGCGAGAGUAAGCUAAUCUCUUAAAGCCAUUCUCAGUUCGGAUUGUAGGCUGCAACUCGCCUACAUGAAGUCGGAAUCGCUAGUAAUCGCGGAUCAGCAUGCCGCGGUGAAUACGUUCCCGGGCCUUGUACACACCGCCCGUCACACCAUGAGAGUUUGUAACACCCAAAGUCGGUGGGGUAACCUUUUAGGAACCAGCCGCCUA
RNAcentral lists this ribosomal RNA (1438 nucleotides) under Lactiplantibacillus plantarum. RNAcentral describes it as "bacterial SSU rRNA". It matches the Rfam family "Bacterial small subunit ribosomal RNA". Lineage: Bacteria; Bacillati; Bacillota; Bacilli; Lactobacillales; Lactobacillaceae. The record is from RNAcentral.